GACGAACGCUGGCGGCGUGCUUAACACAUGCAAGUCGAGCGGAAAGGCGCUGCUUUUGUGGGGUGCUCGAGUGGCGAACGGGUGAGUAACACGUGAGUAACCUGCCCUUGACGGUGUGAUAACUUCAGGCAACUGGUGCUAAUACCUGAUAGGAGCUCCUGCUGCAUGGUGAGGUUCGGAAAGUUUAGGCGGAUGGGGGUGGACGCGCGGCUUAUCAGCUUGUUGGUGGGGUAGUUGCCUACCAAGGCUUCGACGGCUAGCCGGCCUGAGAGGGUGGACACCCACAAUGGGACUGAGAGACGGACCAGUCUCCUAUGGGAGGCAGCAGGGGAGAAUAUUGCACAAUGGGGGGAAGCCUGAGGCAGCAACGCUGCGAGCGGGAUGACGGCCUUCGUGUUGUAAACCGCAUUAGCCUGUGACGAAGCGUGAGUGACGGUAAUGGGUAAAGAAGCACCGGCUAACUACGUG
RNAcentral lists this ribosomal RNA (468 nucleotides) under uncultured bacterium. Its description in RNAcentral is "partial 16S ribosomal RNA". It matches the Rfam family "Bacterial small subunit ribosomal RNA", at positions 28 to 507 of the family's 1533-position model. The record is from RNAcentral.